RNAcentral lists this long non-coding RNA (262 nucleotides) under Bos taurus (domestic cattle). Its description in RNAcentral is "long non-coding RNA NONBTAT020044". The record is from RNAcentral. Lineage: Eukaryota; Metazoa; Chordata; Mammalia; Artiodactyla; Bovidae.
GACAAAUGAAAAGUAAUUUUAUUUUUGUUUAACCUUAAACUUACCAAACUGCUUCUUUCUUUGAACAGCAGUUAUCUUCUGUUUGAUAUCCAACUGCACUUACACUGAAAAGUAGUGAAAACUACUUAACGAUUCCACUUUGAAGUUAUAAGCAUACAAUUUAAACAGUGACCUGUUAAUUUGUUUAAACAACAAUAAUAAUUAUGUUUUUCCAGAAUAAAAAUUAAAUCAUCUGUUGAAGAUACUACUAAAAAUACUUCAC